ACGACACAGCCAUCGCCGGAGUGUUGUGGCCAUUUUGUACUUUGCUACAACUCAGCUAACCAGGCUGGCGAUUCACAUUCGGUCUGUCGUUCGUUUCAUUUCUGUCGCGUAGCGUAGCAGUAAAAUGGAGCGAACCUUUAUUAUUAGCUGUCAUAAUUGACAGUUAACCUAAUCGGCAACACUGCAACAAAAAAACGGUAUAUAUGUACAUACAUACGUAAGUGACAUGGACAGACGGAUAUUGGUUUAAACGGAAAAGUAUUUUUUAAGAAGAAACAAAAUAAUAAAUAGCAAAAACUAUAAAAUCUUCCGGAAUGUUAUCUUUGACUAUAAAUAAAUAAAUAGUUGUCCUGGAGACUAAAAACUAGCAAAGGGAGUGGAAGUUUUGUUUUGACAGCCAAACAAACGGAUACUGCCAGAAACAGCUGAAAGGAACAGGCGUCAGAUGCAUUUAAAAAUGUGAUUGCAAUAUCAUCACGUGCGAUUGAUAUUUUGGCCUGCUAUUUAUUAGACCAUUACUAAGUUUUACUUUGUAGGACAAAUUAAUCUUUUAAAAGCAUGUAAAUCAAAUAAUUAAACCACUACAAAUAUGAAUUUACAAUGAAUGCCGUUUAAUGCAAACGGAACAAUUAGAGACAAUAUCCAUUCUCUAUGGACAAUUGACAUAUAGUACUCGUACACAUUUGUAUCUACAUAUCAGACUUUUCAUAAAAUACUUCUAUGCCAAAACUAUAUUUUCGUUAAAACCCAAAUACAUUAGUAACUAUGUCUUUAUUAUAAGAACGCAGAGAUUCAAUUUUACUGUAUUUACAUAUGUAUGCAUGUGUUAUGUUCUUUUUAAUUCAGGCAGUCUUUUAUUAAAAAUCAAUAUGAAUUUGGUAAUGUUUGUUAAUUAUUCAAUUAUACAAUAUAUCUACACUUCCAUGUACAUACUUAUAUAUUUAAGAAUAUCGUCGCUCCUACUACUUAUAUUCUUAUCUUUGUAUUGUGACUCAAGCCUAAGCUUAUGUGGUGAUUUCGGGCAUUGUAUAAACCUAUAUAUGUACAUAUAUAUAUUUCUACAAUGAUUUCGGGUUCGUAUAUACAUUCUGAUGAAAUAAUCGCUUUUGUAAAUAUAUAUGUAUGUAUACGCAAAUGUCUGUUAUGUUAAAUUAUAAAGACAGAUUAACCCGACAAUUCAAAUCGAACUAAUAAAUAUUUAUUAAUUAAAUCAUAAAAGGCAAUAGUGGCGGGCGACUGCAACUGCUUAUACAUAUCUAUACCGAGAAACUAAUUUUAUAUGAUUUAGUAUAUUACAGAAGCUGAGUAUUGAAAAGGACAACAAAUGAAAAGGACAGGACACGUCAUCUGACAUCUCCCUCCCUUAAAUCUGACCUCGUCGAAACAGCACGUUUCUUGGGUCUACCGUUGUAUGACGUCGACGACAACUUAUCAUCCUCACGGGGACUAUGUUCCCGCUAUAACAACAACACUACAUGUCACUGCUAUCAGAAAGAACUCUUCAUGCUACUGCGAUUUUGACCAAAGGACAAAUCUUAGCACACCAGCAUUUAAGUGAAAGACAAAGAAAUGUUUUUACAACUUAUGUGCAAUCUCAACAGAAUGUGACGAAGAAUUUCAAAACGCCAGAACACAGAAGUACGGACACUGAUAGGAUGCCUCGAAUUCCCCUGAAUAUCAUAAGCAAAUUAAGUGCUGCUGAUAUCAUUUCUUAAAAGACGCUGUUUAUUAUCUAUCUUCUGCUGACAUUGUUCUUUGAAAGUCUUCCUGAACUCUUUUCCUUUUAAUAAGAAGCUCUCAAAAUUAUCCUUUGGAUAUAUGUAUCAGCAAUCGAGCACUUUUUAAUUCUCCGCAACCAAUUCUGUUAAUGCCCUUAAUCCAGUUUUCUAACCCAAUCGUCCAUAACGUCACUUGGACGCAAUUAUAAAUUGUAUAUCAAGAAUAUCAAGGAACUGUCAAUUUGAACAAAGCCUUAUUUGUGACCUCAUAAUAUGUACAUACAUACAUGUGUAUUCUAUCAAACGAGAUGAAAAUGUCAUGUUGUUGUUGUUGUAACGGCAGAAUUCUGCCGAGUUGACAGUCCUUGGCCGGAUAAAAAUCCGGGUCCGUUCCGGUUUUCGUAGACCCGACUGUCGUGGGAACGGAUGAAAAUGUCAUCUUUAUAUCCAAUGUUUUUAUAGCAUCCAUUCGUGGUAUCAGAUUUGUGAAUUAAAGGCUCGGGUACAUUGAUUCCGUAAUGGAAAAGUUUGCAACUGCCAGCUGUGUUAAAUGUGUUCAUUUAUGUAUAUGGAGAGCGAUAAUACGUAUUCUACCUGAAAAGUAUCCGGCAGACCAACACUGAACAUUUUGCAUACCCUAACAAAUGGAUUAUAUGUACACACAUAUGUAUCCAGACAUUCCAAAUGCGUUUUCGACUGUAUGACAAAAUUUUUGGAAUACCAAAAUCAAUUGGACAAGAAAAAAUCUUGUAAUUAUGUGGCGAAAUCUUUGGAGGUAAUAAUACCUCCAAGUUGGAAUUAAAAAUUUGUAAGAAAAAAUAACAUUUUAUUAAGAAAACAAAAAUUU
Molecule: long non-coding RNA, 2565 nt
Organism: Bactrocera latifrons
Lineage: Eukaryota; Metazoa; Arthropoda; Insecta; Diptera; Tephritidae
Exons: 2
Source: RefSeq, a predicted model, not a curated record